This 773-nucleotide ribosomal RNA is filed under the name uncultured Neocallimastigales. RNAcentral describes it as "partial large subunit ribosomal RNA". It matches the Rfam family "Eukaryotic large subunit ribosomal RNA", at positions 22 to 640 of the family's 3401-position model. The record is from RNAcentral. Lineage: Eukaryota; Fungi; Neocallimastigomycota; Neocallimastigomycetes; Neocallimastigales.
UACACGCUGUGACUAGCAUAUCAAUAAGCGGAGGAAAAGAAACUAACAAGGAUUCCCCUAGUAACGGCGAGUGAAGCGGGAAGAGCUCAAAUUUGAAAUCUUAAAGGGUUUCCCUUUACGAAUUGUAGUUUAAAGAAGUGUUUUCUGUUGAGGUUUUGGUAAAAGUUCUUUGGAAUAGGACAUCAUAGAGGGUGAGAAUCCCGUAUUUGACCUUUACUUUCAACUUUGUGAUACACUUUCAAAGAGUCGGAUUGUUUGGGAAUGCAGUCCAAAAUGGGUGGUAAAUUUCAUCUAAAGCUAAAUAUUGGCGAGAGACCGAUAGCGAACAAGUACCGUGAGGGAAAGAUGAAAAGAACUUUGAAAAGAGAGUUAAACGGUACGUGAAAUUGUCAAAAGGGAAGCGUUUGACACCAGUGUUGUUUUUCUGAAAAUCAAUUAAAGAACUGUUUAUGCUAAGCUGUUUAGACUUUAUCAGCUAUCUGUUUAGUUUUGAGCUUUUCUUUAAUGCACUUUUCAGUUAACAAGUCAACAUCAAUUUCUUUUGCUGUAAAAAAGCUUGAGGAAGGUGGCUUGAGAUUCGUCUUAAGUGUUUAUAGCCUCUUGCCUAUGCAGUCGGAGAGAUUGAGGUCUGCAGCGUAGAUCCUUCGGGGCUAAAUGCAUUUGUGCUAAGUUAUAGCAUUUUAUAGACAACUUGUUGACUAUGAUUUGUCUUGUAGCUUACUCGCUUAUGUUAUUUUACCUACGCUUAGGAUGUUGAUAUGCAUGACUGAUAU